UACGUAGGGUGCGAGCGUUAAUCGGAAUUACUGGGCGUAAAGCGUGCGCAGGCGGUUCGUUAAGUUCGAUGUGAAAGCCCCCGGCUCAACUGGGGAGGGUCACGCGAUACUGAUCGACUCGAAGGCAGGAGAGGGUAGUGGAAUUCCCGGUGUAGUGGUGAAAUGCGUAGAUAUCGGGAGGAACACCAGUGGCGAAGGCGACUACCUGGCCUGUUCUUGACGCUGAGGCGCGAAAGCUAGGGGAGCAAACGGG
Molecule: ribosomal RNA, 253 nt
Filed under: uncultured bacterium
Lineage: Bacteria
Description: partial 16S ribosomal RNA
Rfam family: Bacterial small subunit ribosomal RNA
Source: RNAcentral